Molecule: ribosomal RNA, 455 nt
Filed under: Streptococcus mitis
Lineage: Bacteria; Bacillati; Bacillota; Bacilli; Lactobacillales; Streptococcaceae
Description: bacterial SSU rRNA
Rfam family: Bacterial small subunit ribosomal RNA
Source: RNAcentral
GACGAACGCGGCGGCGUGCCUAAUACAUGCAAGUAGAACGCUGAAGGAGGAGCUUGCUUCUCCGGAUGAGUUGCGAACGGGUGAGUAACGCGUAGGUAACCUGCCUGGUAGCGGGGGAUAACUAUUGGAAACGAUAGCUAAUACCGCAUAAGAGUAGAUGUUGCAUGACAUUUACUUAAAAGGUGCAAUUGCACCACUACCAGAUGGACCUGCGUUGUAUUAGCUAGUUGGUGGGGUAACGGCUCACCAAGGCGACGAUACAUAGCCGACCUGAGAGGGUGAUCGGCCACACUGGGACUGAGACACGGCCCAGACUCCUACGGGAGGCAGCAGUAGGGAAUCUUCGGCAAUGGACGAAAGUCUGACCGAGCAACGCCGCGUGAGUGAAGAAGGUUUUCGGAUCGUAAAGCUCUGUUGUAAGAGAAGAACGAGUGUGAGAGUGGAAAGUUCACACU